RNAcentral lists this ribosomal RNA (497 nucleotides) under uncultured bacterium. RNAcentral describes it as "partial 16S ribosomal RNA". It matches the Rfam family "Bacterial small subunit ribosomal RNA", at positions 28 to 507 of the family's 1533-position model. The record is from RNAcentral.
GAUGAACGCUGGCGGCGUGCCUAAUACAUGCAAGUCGAGCGAACAGACGAGGAGCUUGCUCCUUUGACGUUAGCGGCGGACGGGUGAGUAACACGUAGGUAACCUACCUAUAAGACUGGGAUAACUUCGGGAAACCGGAGCUAAUACCGGAUAAUAUUUCGAACCGCAUGGUUCGAUAGUGAAAGAUGGCUUUGCUAUCACUUAUAGAUGGACCUGCGCCGUAUUAGCUAGUUGGGAAGGUAACGGCUUACCAAGGCAACGAUACGUAGCCGACCUGAGAGGGUGAUCGGCCACACUGGAACGGAGACACGGUCCAGACUCCUACGGGAGGCAGCAGUAGGGAAUCUUCCGCAAUGGGCGAAAGCCUGACGGAGCAACGCCGCGUGAGUGAUGAAGGUCUUCGGAUCGUAAAACUCUGUUAUUAGGGAAGAACAAACGUGUAAGUAACUGUGCACGUCUUGACGGUACCUAAUCAGAAAGCCACGGCUAACUACGUG